ACUCCUACGGGAGGCAGCAGUGGGGAAUAUUGGACAAUGGGGGGAACCCUGAUCCAGCCAUGCCGCGUGUGUGAAGAAGGCCUUAUGGUUGUAAAGCACUUUAAGCGAGGAGGAGGCUACUGAGACUAAUACUCUUGGAUAGUGGACGUUACUCGCAGAAUAAGCACCGGCUAACUCUGUGCCAGCAGCCGCGGUAAU
Molecule: ribosomal RNA, 198 nt
Filed under: uncultured bacterium
Lineage: Bacteria
Description: partial 16S ribosomal RNA
Rfam family: Bacterial small subunit ribosomal RNA
Source: RNAcentral